CCCAUAUUUGUAUUGAAACCGUAAUCGUUGAAUGUAAAGAAAACGUGGUUUCAGUUUCAGUGCCUCUUUAAAUUAAAAAGACUGGAUCCGCGGUCCAGAGCAUCCAAAAUGUUAUCCCUUGCUGGCGUAAGCUUAACAAGAGAAACUAUAGAGCUAGAACCUUCUACUAACUUUUUGAUGGAAAUUAAUGAAGACGGCGGCGGCGUUCUCACAGAGUUCGGAGCUGCACUAAAUGGUGAUGAAUUGCUUAAAAUGGCUGAUGACGCUAUUAAAAACCUACAGGAAAGUUCUGAAAACAUGCAAGUUCCAACAAUGGAUUUUUCUGAGCAACUUACUAACAGUAAUGAUGAAUUUUGUGAGGCUCGUUUAGAAAAUGUUGAGGGGCAAACAACCAAUGAUGAUGACUCAACCUACCCAAGCUAUGAUAUUCUACAAGAAGAAGAACCUGAUUCUUCCGACACUGAAGGCUAUAGUGAAGAAAGUGACGGCGUUGUGUCUAGAGCUGAUGAGGCUGGAGUCCGAGGAAAUGAAGAAAUACUUAAAUGUAGAAGCAGAAAAAAGAAAAACUCCGAAAAACAUAAAAGGCAAUCAGGGAAAGAAUAUUUAGAAAAGCGAAAAAAUGAAGGAAAGUGGGACUACUAGAUAUGGGAGAGAGGUGUACAUGUGAAAACAAAAGUGGCCUAAAUUGCAAAGAUUUAACAGAAGAAGAUAGAGGUCAAGUUUUUGAUCACUUUUGGAAGCUGUCGUGGUCUGAGAAGCAAAUCUUUGUUACUACACUGGUUAACAAAUGUCCAGCUAAAAGAGCUAGAAACCGAAAACAAGAGGAGCAGUCAAGACGAGCGUAUUCAUACUCAUACUUUCUUAAUAAGCAAAGUAUCAGGUUAAAGGUCUUCAAAACGAUAUUUUGCAGUACACUAGGCAUACCAAAAAGAACAGUUGGCUAUUGGCUUCUUGAAAAAAAUAUUGAUAGUGCCAAGGAUAUUGGAGAAUUAAAAUAUUAGAAAUAAACAAACAAAACGAGGGCUUAAUUUCUUUUUUAAAUAGCUUACCGAAGAUGGAGUCGCAUUAUUGUAGAAAGUCUACUAUGAAGCUUUAUUUAGAGCAGGUUUGGACCUCCAAAUUAGGACUUUAUAGGCUGUAUAAAAAUGAAUGGUGUACCACGAACAACUUGUUACCAUUAUCUCUUGCAUCUUUUACAAACAUGAUUGAAGAUCAAAACAUUGCAUUAUUUUCAUCAAAAAAAGAUGAAUGCGACAUAUGUGUAGCCUUUAAGACGGGAAAUAUCAGGCAAGAUAUAUUUGAAGAACAUCAACUCAAAAAAGAAGAAGCACGAAACGAAAAACAAAAAGACAAAGAAGCAGAAAGUUGUUGUAGUGUAUACACAAUGGAUCUGCAAUCUGUAUUAUUAUGUCCGAAGUCCAAUGUAUCCUCUCUAUAUUACAAGACAAAACUGGUUGUCCACAAUUUUACAAUAUUUAAUCUUAAAACCAAGGAUGGUUAUUGCUACAUUUAGCACGAGGGACAAGGAGAACUGACAGCCAACAUUUUUACAUCAAUCUUGUAUAGCUUUGUCAAAAACCAUGUAAUGCCAGAAAAUGAAGCUUUAACCAAAUUUUUUUUUUUAUAGUGAUGGUUGCACCUGUCAGAACAGGAAUGCAUUGCUCUCAAACGCCCUUUUAAACUUAUUACAAGAAUGUAAAACAACAAUUGAGCAGAAGUACCUUCAAAAGGGGCACACGCAAAUGGAAUGCGAUGCCAUGCACUCAAGUAUUGAAAGGAAGCUGAAAAAGAAAAUUAUAAAUAUCCCUGCUGAUUACGUAGUUCUUAAUUCUAUAAGACCAGGAAGGACUACAGGUGAUGCAGCUGUCACUGACAUAAAAGCUUUGAGAUAUAGCCCAGACGGUUCCAUCUGGUUUAAAAUUCGCCACUCAGAAGAAUGGAAACCUUUGCCAUGUCGCUUGAAUAAAAAUAAAACUGUUGCAUCGUAUGACGCCCUUCCCCAACUUUUCGAUGCACCUAUACCAAUUCAAAAGCAAAAAUUUAUUUAAAACUGUCUUUAAAUAAAGAUAAGUUUUUGGGCUCUCCUGAAAAAGUGUUAUUUUGUGAGUUAGGCAAUUUGCAUCUUAGGACGACGAUAUGCAGUUUAAAAGAGAGCUACUUAUCCAAUAAAAUUCCUAAAAAUGUUGUUUCAAUUUCAUUACUCGAUACUUGUUUUUUUUAAGAAAACUGUAAGCUUAUUGUUUUGUUUAAGAGAUAAAUAAUUUGAGUCAAACCAAUUUUUCACAUGUAUGCUUCGUUGUGAGUUUGUAGUAAAACUUUAUGUGAGUUAUAAUGUCUUGCCAUCUGCAGAAUCUAGACAGAAUCGAAAAUCUUUUCAAUAAAUCAGGAAUAAAAUUGGUCCAGGUAUGGACCCUUGUGGCACCCCUGAUAGUACCGUUUUUGUUGUUGACUGUCUCUCAUCCAUUUAUUUCUGAAUUAUAAGAAUAUUCCUUAAGUUCUUACGUGGAAAAUUUUGACCUAGUGGUUUUUAAACAUUGGUCGACAAAAUUGUCUGUAACUCUGGGAGUUUUUAACCCUUAAAAAUUUUUCUCAUAUAAAACUGUUGCCGUUUGAGGAUAUUUCAAUUAUUUCCUAAAAUAUCCCCAUGAAAGUGAAGAUUUGAUAAGAAAAUUACCAAAAAAAAAAAAGCCCCAACCAAACUAACCAAUUUCUUGACCCAGAAUGACAUUUUUAGUGUUGAAUGCAAAAAAUCUAAAUAAAACAACCGUUGUUGCUUAAAAAUACAUUUUUAAUUUUAUUACCGAUAAUAACUUACAAAAAAAAAAAGAGACAAAUGCGCUAACACUACCGGUGUGAAGCAAUUUAGAACUAAAUUAGCCACAUUCUUAAUUAUGUAACAACUAAAAAUCGUUCACCAACAAAUUAACGUCAAGAGUAUUCUAAAUAGAGGGCGACAACAAAACAAAACAAACAAAAAUCUAAAUAAAUGAAAAUAUAAA
This 2999-nucleotide long non-coding RNA is filed under the name Anthonomus grandis grandis. RNAcentral describes it as "uncharacterized LOC126741730". The record is from RNAcentral. Lineage: Eukaryota; Metazoa; Arthropoda; Insecta; Coleoptera; Curculionidae.